RNAcentral lists this ribosomal RNA (468 nucleotides) under uncultured bacterium. Its description in RNAcentral is "partial 16S ribosomal RNA". It matches the Rfam family "Bacterial small subunit ribosomal RNA", at positions 28 to 507 of the family's 1533-position model. The record is from RNAcentral.
GACGAACGCUGGCGGCGUGCUUAACACAUGCAAGUCGAACGGAAAGGCCCUGCUUUUGUGGGGUACUCGAGUGGCGAACGGGUGAGUAACAUGUGAGUAUCCUGCCCUUGACUUUGGUAUAACUUCAGGAAAGUGGAGCUAAUCCCGGAUAGGAGCUCCUGUUGUUUGGUGGGGGUUGGAAAGUUUCGGCGGCUGGGGAUGGACUCGCGGCUUAUCAGCUUGUUGGUGGGGUAGUGGCUUACCAAGGCUUUGGGGGAUAGCCGGCCUGAGAGGGUGACCGGCGACAAUGGGACUGAGAGACGGGCCAGUCUCCUACGGGGGGCAGCAGUGGGGAAUAUUGCACAAUGGGAGGAAGACUGAUGCAGCGACGCCGCGUGCGGGAUGACGGCCUUCGGGGUGUAAACCGCUUUCGCCUGAGACGAAGCGUGAGUGACGGUAAUGGGUAAAGAAGCACCGGCUAACUACGUG